UAGCAAGAUUACAACAGUUAAAACAUUUUUUUUUAAGGCUGGAGGAGAUCUGAUCUUGCAGGCAAGAAAGCCAGAUGAGCCAUUGGCAGGAUGUUAAAAGCUCCACAAAGAUAAGUCUCCUUUCUCCUCUGGCUUUACCCACAGUCUGAGAUUCUUGGCACUGAUUGCUUCUUUAGGUGGGGAGAAUGGACAUUUCCGUCCAGCAAUUUCCAAUCACUGGAGUUGGUUCUUUGUGAUUUCUCAGGAAGAAACUGCAGAAUGUGAGUCACAAAUAUGAUGAAAACAAAAAGAGGAAGCCUGGGAUUCAGGAAAUAGAGGACUCAACAUAAGAGUGAAGACAUCUAGGAUGAUGGGGAAGGGAAGUUCCAGAACAACAGCUAUGCAACAGGCCUUGAGAAGGAACAACCAAUGUUGAACUUCUAUUCCUGGUGUUCUAAAAUGUUAUCAUGAAGGUUGGCCGAGUAGUGUGUUGGUUAGGAGUUGGCUUGGGAUGCCAGCUCUGAG
Hipposideros armiger (great roundleaf bat) is the source of this 504-nucleotide long non-coding RNA. RefSeq lists it as uncharacterized. The record is from RefSeq and is a predicted model, not a curated record. The transcript has 4 exons. NCBI's taxonomy places the organism in Eukaryota, Metazoa, Chordata, Mammalia, Chiroptera, Hipposideridae.